GUCGUGAUGAGGGCAGAGGCCAUGGU
This 26-nucleotide non-coding RNA is filed under the name Homo sapiens (human). Lineage: Eukaryota; Metazoa; Chordata; Mammalia; Primates; Hominidae. The record is from RNAcentral.